This 1266-nucleotide small RNA is filed under the name Arabidopsis thaliana (thale cress). RNAcentral's name for it is "ATSL044280". The record is from RNAcentral. Lineage: Eukaryota; Viridiplantae; Streptophyta; Magnoliopsida; Brassicales; Brassicaceae.
UAAUAUAUAUGUGUAUUAAUAUGUAUGUAUAUAUAAAGUUUACCAAGUUGAAGUUGUUUUUUAUAUUUCAAAAAACAUAUGUGUGUAAGAAGUAAUCAAACAUGCAACUCAACUAAUUUAUUAAAUAUAUAUAUAUAUAUAUAUAUAUAUAUAUAUAUAUAUAUAUGCUCGAAAAUUGUAAUGCUUCUUCAUCAAAUGUAACAAUAUGAUUGGUGUUAAGAUUAGAUAAUUAUUUAUUAUCGUUUAUCCCUUGGAGAUCAAGUUACUUAUUGCUCAAGUCUUUUCAAAAGGCUAAUUAAGAAAUAAUAUUUAUAUCUAAGAAAUGUUUUUUUCGGGUGUCAGAAACAAAUGAUUCAAGUUUCUAUUUAUAGAGAAAAAUAUGAUAAAUUUUGGAUAUGAAAAAAUUAUUUGAUAUGAAAUAGUUAAGUUUAAAUAUCUAAGAUAUCUUAUCAACCAAUCAGAGCCGAUACCUUUCCCCAAUCCACAAUUUUGCCAAGUUUUUAUUUUCAUCAAAUUUACGACUAAUUAAACGCUUACACGCGUUCGAGGGACCUCAUUUCUGCAUUACAACAAGUUGCAAAUUAUCAACUUAUUUUUUGCCAGUAAGAUUGCAUCAACAAAUGAUAAAUAUUUAUCAAAAUUUUCAUUGUACAUAGCCUAACACCACCAAGAUAAGACAUGUAGAAUCAUAAUUAUUUGAUUAAAUUUUUGUGGAAUAAAAAGGUUAAAUCCUAAUUGCCUACAAAAUUAAAGUAAAAUCAUGCAACAUAACUAAUUCAUUAAAUUAAGGUUAUUAGCAUAUUUUAUGUUGUAUUUCGGCAAUAGUGUGGUGAUACAAGUUUAAAAUAGGUGAAUUUGAAAUAAUAUAGAACCAUAAGAGAUCAUGCUUUCAUCAACAACUACGUUUCUUUAUACAAACAUAUCAAAAAAUCUUUUGAGUUUCACAUGGACACCAUGUUUUCGACCGAAUCAAAAUUCCUUGGUAAGAUCUAUUUCUUCCUCAAAAUUUAAUGUGUUUGAUUAGAUUUCACAUCUCACAAUUUGAUUUUUGUAGUGGCUGUCUCAUGCAUCGUUUUGUGGUCAUUUCAAUUAUAUCCUCACUUUCUCUAAGUUCGAACUCACCAACAAAGAUUAGAAACUUACAAGACCACACUUUAUUGCUAUCUCAUCAGCUUGUUUAGCCUUUAGCCAUCUUAUUUUGAGCAUGAAAUUAUGUUUCCUCGUAACUUCUUUUUUGAUGGCAUAAAAUCAAGGCAUUUAAAAAAA